This 241-nucleotide unclassified non-coding RNA is filed under the name Hevea brasiliensis (rubber tree). Lineage: Eukaryota; Viridiplantae; Streptophyta; Magnoliopsida; Malpighiales; Euphorbiaceae. The record is from RNAcentral.
AAACGGAAGGAGGAAUGUUGGAAUGCGAUACCGGAAGUAUUGUUUGGGUCCGAAGGCGAAAUGGGUCAUGGUGGCCUGGGAAAAUAUUGGGGACUAAUGAGCUUUCUGCAACUCAUCUGAUGUCUCCACGAUCUGGAACUCCAGUCAAGCUUCUUGGCAGGGAAGAUGCUAGUGUGGAUUGGUAUAACUUGGAGAAGUCAAAACGCGUCAAAGCAUUUCGUUGUGGUGAAUUUGAUGAUUG